Long non-coding RNA from Equus caballus (horse), 19477 nucleotides. The record is from Ensembl. NCBI's taxonomy places the organism in Eukaryota, Metazoa, Chordata, Mammalia, Perissodactyla, Equidae.
CCCCCAUUAAAAUCACAGCAAGCAGACAUGGAUGUCCCGGCUGGGCAGUCUCACAUGCCUAUUCCACAGACCAUCCCAGAUACUGGAGGCCAGAAGGCCAGGAUGAGGAUAUCACUCGUGCCCUGGAGGAGAGCGGGGACUUGGGUGGGUGAGUUUCCUCCCCAUGCUCAGGAAAGCCACUCUGUCUGGAGGAACGGGGUUUCUAGGGUGGUGGUUGCCAGGAAGAUGGUCCUGAGAUUUCAAAAAGCACGACAGAGUUUCCUUCCCUUCUCAGCAAGCUACAAGUGGAAAAAACUCUGAUUCAGAAAGAGAGGGUCCAGCCCUUGAGGAAAACCAGGCGUCUCCUGGAGGGCGCACCUGUACUGCAGGCCGGAUUGGAGAGGAAGUCUUGCCGUGGCGUGCCAGCUCACAUCCUCCAAGUGUGCCAGGGGCACGUCCCAGGGAAAACGGGAUUGCCAGUAAUCAGUGCAGCAUCUCCAGAUCAGAGCUCGGGAGGAUGGUGGGAAAGUUAAAACAAAAAAAGGUGUUGCAAGACUCUAGGAUUUGUGGUGCCAGAGUCCUCUUUGGGAUUAGAGAAAGACGGGAUAUGGCAUAUAGGGUUUUGGGCCAAAUAGUCACUCUCUAUCCAGCGGAACGACAGCCAUGGAGGGGAUGAAUACAGCGAAGUAUUUGGAAACUAGCCAAGCACUGGUGCAGGUUGGCCUGAGGAAGAAAUAGAUGCAAAGGAGAAAAAGAGAAAGUACCCUGAAACCUUCGAUUACAAUGUAUAAAAAGUCACAAGUUCAGACUUUGCAAGGAGAGGUAAAGAAUCACGAGACUAGUGCAAGAGUAAACAGAUAGGUGAGAUAUGCUGAAUGUCUCCAAGAAUUUCGGACGUUUGCCCGUGGAUACUUCAAGUGAGUUAAGGGCUUUUGUAUGUGGAGGUCUAGAUGGCGUAAGAGAAAAAGUGAGUGGGCAGAUGGGCAGCUGUGUAGAUUCCGGGCAGGGUCAGGAGGGUGGGAUGGACGUGGUCCCCCUGGCCUGACUCCCGGAAAGGCAGGGGAGAGGACCCGCGGCAGGUGAGAGCUGCCUUGCUCAGGCUCACCCGUAGGUGCUGUAAACCAGUGGUGUGUGAGUGGCUGCCAAGUGGGCAUUUUGGGGUGGCCUGUGUCUGUCCUAUGAGACAUAGAUACCUCUCUUAGCGCAAGGCAAGAUGGCACAGAGCCUCUGUACACUUGAGAAGACAGGGGAAGAGAGUGAGAGAAGUUUGCAUUUGAGAAAAGUGGCUUCAAAGUAAAGAAGUUCUCCCGUUCACCCCCUUUCCCUCCCAAAUGAGCACAUCUGGUGCAUUUCCCAGCUGGAGCGCCCUGAAACCCACCUGCCUCUCUCCGGGGUCCCCUUGCCUCUCCCCACACUCUUCCCAGGCACCAACAUCGUUCAUGUCCUCUUUGACUCCAUGUCUGUCCUCCUCCCCCCUCCCUGCCCCCAACCAGCUGCUCCCUGGUUCUUGUCAAUUCUCCAACCAUUAUAAUCCUCAAUCCUGCCUUUGCAGAACCCGCAGCCCCUGCCCCUGUCCAGGUCCUCCUCCCGUGAGCCUGGACUCCUGCAGAGUUUCCUAACUGGUCCCUCGGCUUCUAGGUGCUCCCUGCUCUGCCUCAGGGCCUCUCAAACGCCACCCUCGGGGGGGUUGUCUCAAGCACUCUUCAACCUAGGUGCUCCUUUGGUCAAUAAACCUUCAGUGGCUCCCUAUUGCCAACAGAUUAAAAGUCCAAACUCUUUAACUUAGCUUUGGAGGCUCUGCAGCCCACGGCCCCAUCCUGCACUUUCCUCCGCUUCUUAUCUACACAACCCUCUUAUUGGUGUCCAGCCAAUCUCCUCAGUUAUUCCUGGACGUACCACACACCCUUCCCUUUCCAGUCAAGAUGCAGUUCAAGCUCCACUUUUGUGUGGUGACGUCACCCACUGGGGCCGUGGUGAUGAUCUCCAGAGGUGUCUGUUCUCUGAGGCUGCCAGCCCCGUUGAGAUCCCAGGUCUCGGGCGCUCUGAUGCCUUCCCACUUUGUCUGCUUGCUUUGGAAGCCCGGGGCUUGUGACCGUGGGGUCAUCUUGGCCUCCUGGUUUCUGCCUUCUGUACAUCUGCUCUCUCGGUUUACUGGAUCACUCUGGGUAUAAGACGCAAUCAAAACUGAAUCACAUAAAAUAUUCGGGGGCAGUGUUUUGACUUUCUGCAGGAGCUGGGGAUGUUCUGGGGAUGGCUAACAGGUGCCCUCCCUUUCCCCAGCAUGCCUUAGACAUUCCUGCUUUUACAUAUUCUUUCUGCCCACUUGCCACUGGAACGUUCCCCGGGCCGCAGGUCAGCGUCCAGCCUCUUGCUGAUUCCACUCGUUUUGCCAGCCCUCUGUUGCCUCACUCUGCUCGCCCCUCUCAUCCUUUCCCCCAACCAAAACAUCCCAGUCUCCCUGCUUCUUGUGGGCAGUUACUUCAUCCUCUCCUCUGAGCCUGGGAAUGGGCCACCUCAGGCUCUUGGGACCUCACUUCUGCCAUGAGCACAGAUCACGCUCUCUCCCAUCCACCCCAGCAGAGAGCAUUCUUUCUCUCAGAAGGUGCACAUUUCAGACUUAUGUGUCUGUAACGUGAUCAGAGCCCUCGCUGGCCCUGCUUCCGGCCAGGCAUGGACUCCUGAUCCUUUUUGUGCUGAGUCAUUUUGUGGCGGGUCUUGUACUUGGGCAGAGGGGCAGUGUUCACUUUUGGUAGUGACAAUGACGGUAGUUUGAGGACCUGCCAGUAGGUGAAUUUGGGACCAUUUUUAGAACAGAAAAGAGAGUCAACCAGCACUUACUAUAAAAGCACCUGUUGAUCCAGACACCUCAAAAGUCUUGUAGAAAAGGAGAAGACAAAAGAAGAGGAAAAUGAAGCAAGAUAAGGAGAGGGUCUCCCAGUAUUCCCAAAGGAAGAGAAAAUCCAUCUAUGCAGCAAAAGCAGGGGUGAAGCCCUGAGCUGGCUGUCCUGAGUCUCUGGGCUUCAUAGGAAAUGCUGUGAUUUCCUUCAUUCACUCAGGACACAAAGUGGCUGAGUCCUACUCUGUGCCAGGCACUGUUCUAGGAACUGGGAACACCCUAGCGGACAAAGCAGACUUGGCUUCGGUUUCCGUGGAAUUUAUCACAAGCACAAGCCAGAGAGCAAGCAAGGAAAAAUCCUGGCAUUGUGCUCAGAGCUCUAAGGGGUGACGGAGUGGUGGCCUCCUGACCGGUGUCGACCACAAGUCAGGCAGUGGGCAGCCCCCCUGCUUGAAGGGACAGGAAGAGACUUGAGGGGAAUGAGGGAAGGAUGAAGGAGGACCAUGAGUGAAGCUCGGGAGAAAUGGCCAGCAGGUGGCAUGUGCGUGAGUCCAUCAUGGGGGCUAAUUUGCUGUCAAAGAGCCUGGCACUGAUUUCCCAGUGUCAGACCCCCUCUUUGGGGCAUGGCUACCUGAUUCCUAAGAGAUCUUCAUGGCUCCGUGCAAAGAAAAGUGGGGGAGAAGAGGGCGAUGAGUUUAAUGGUUCUAACUUGCAUUUUUUAUUUCAGCUAGAAGAGACCUCCAGCAUGGACACAGCUGAUUUCAAGGACAAUCUGCAUCUGGGUCCAGGUUCAUCCCAGAAAAGGGCACACUGAGGGCUCGUGGCAGUGUGGGGAGGGGUCAGGUUUGUUUCUGCCCAGGGGUCAGCCAUUUCAGCAUCCUUGAAAGGUGACUUCCAUGAUUCCUUCUGGGGAGCUACCUGCCAGGAGUUCCUGGUGAGGCAGGACUUAGAGGAUGGUUAUUUCUUUGUAGGAACGAUUUGAGGCCUAGGAUGAUGUUAUCAUCUUCUGGAGAAGACUUUUCUCUGCUUCAGACAAAUGCCUGCUGGCAGCACCAGACUGGGGCCACCAUAAUCCAAGUUCACAGCUUGAGGUCCCCUGAGUCAACCCGAUGACACGAAGCUGAACUGCAAGUCCUCGGAGGGUUGGCUUAAUUCGAAAUCACCUUUGCUCUGAGAGUAUAACCCUUCGGGGUUAAUAAAGGAGGUGGGGGAGGCCUCAUCAGGACCCCCAACUUCCGUGGGUGCUGGGCUGUGUCUUUCGUCUACAAGCCCAUUGGAAGCACGGCUCAGUUUCUAAGCAGAUUUAUCUGGAUCCACCAGUGCCCUCAAGGCAAAAGCAACUUUGGGAGCUGGGUUUACUGUUCUGGGUUCUCUACGACUUUGCCCAGCAAUUUCUCACUAUCUUGUUAUAUGCCUUUAAGAAGAUUGUUUGUCUUAUGAUAUACCACCCUUAAAAAAAAAACAACUGUUUGGCCUAGUAGGCCAUUUCCAGAAGCGGAAGUCUUAGUUACUUCUCUUGGUGCCUCCUUGCCUGGGGCUUCUCGCCAGCUUCAGAGAUGCCCACUGUGGGAAAAUGGAGUCCAGCAGAGCAUAGGGGAAAGAGCAGAGGGAGGUUGGCUGGGCCCUGGGGUGGGGGAAGAGGCUGGAAGAGUUCAGAGAUACAGUCUCAAGUCAGAGGCCUGCCCACCUGCCCAAGAGGAUUUGGAGGGUCCAGCAUCUGGACCACCCAAGGGAGCCUCCAGAACUGGCAUCUUUAUUCACUAGCUGCCAAGUUUGUGUUUCUCUAAGGGGCUUUGGCGGCAGGGAUCGCUCAGGAGACAGGUGGAGUUGCAAGUGCUGGAGGGGCCUGCAGACCUCAGAGGAUCAGAGAGGAGAGACCAAAUUGCCUGCAGAUAUAAAGAGCCGACGUAUUUCUGGGGGACUCCCACCUAAGCCUUUAGGGAGUGUAUUCUGUUUUUUUUCCCCUGAACUUAGGCAUUGUUAUAGAAAAAUAGGCCCAAAUGGAAAUCCAAUUACAUUUAUAUUUCUGCAAAUUCCCUCCAAUUCUCUUUUCAUAUAUUUAUGUAUAUAUCCAUUUAUGUUAUUGGGGUCAGCCUUGGUCAGCUUGUGCCUUCUGACCUGUGGCCUCUUUCUGCCAUGUCUCAUAGGUACCUGUGCCAAUGACCCCUUAUUUGGCAUGGGACACAUUGGAUUUAGGUCUCUCUUUUUAUAAAUAUCUAAUAAGGAGGAAGGGAGAAGCAAUGGGGGAUGCUCAAUCCAGUGGGUCUAGAGGACAGCAGGGUGCUCAGGAGGCUGGAGACGAGCUCAGGGAGACACUGGGACAACAGCUGAGUACACGAAUUUUUCUGUUUUGAAUGAGAUGCUGUCUCUUUGCAAUGUUAAGUCAUCUCUACAAACCCCCUCCUCUUCCUGCCAAUUUACAGAAUCCUUUGUAGGGCUGGGUUGUUUGAAUUUGAGUUUCCUGCCAUCUCUUGGUUCUACAGUGUUGCUGAGGGCAUGGAGGGAUUUCCUGAGGGACGUACGUUUCUUUAUCUAACCAUUCUCCUAUUCUGGGACGUUUACGUGGCUUCCCAGUUUUCAUUGCUAUCAUUAAUGCUUUGAAAAACAUCCUUUUACAGAUGUCUUAUGAUUGCCUUCUCAUAUCAUUUCUAAGGAUAGAUUCCUGAAAAUGGGAUCAUGGGGGCAAAGGUUCUUGGUGUAUAUAAUCAUUGCUUUUGUCUUUUCUAGAGAAUUCGCACCAGCUUGCACUCCAAGAAGCCGCAAAUGAUAAUGUGAGUCUCGCCCAAGUGCCCCUGUUAAUGUGCCUUGUCCUGAUUUCACACUUCCCAGCCCUCAUGUAAGCCAAGGAGGAGUGAGGAAUGCUGAGGGACCUCCAGACUUCGGAGGAGCAGAGAGGAGGGAGCAGACCCAAGAAGAUAUGCCACCAGGCCAUGCUCAUGGCCCCUACGACAGAAGUCUUUCUCUUUUUUCUAGUGAUUACCUUGGGCUUACACUUUGUCAGUUUUGGAUACCAGGGAAACCCAGGCUUCCGCAUUUGCAAAGGCUGAGGGAGGGCCUUGUGCCUCCUCUGGUCCUCCCACAGGCUGUUGGGAGAAGCAGGCCUUUGCUCAGUGAGGUAGCCGGCCUCUCCAGUGACCUCCUUGGGCAGCUCGGCUGGCCUGGACCCUCUUCAACUUCAUAAUUCCACAGGUUUGUAAGGAACCAAUCUUGAUCGAUUCAUUCAUUCAUUCAUUUCACAAAUAUUUACUGAGCACCUACUGUGUGCCAAGUCUUCUUUUCGGUGCUGGGGACAUACCAGCCUACAAAACAGACCAAACAUAGCCCUGCCCAUGUAGAUGUCCCAUUCUCAGGAAUAUUUUCCUGCAUGAGGACCCGUUUAGGAAUCUGUCACUCUUCUAAGUCAUCAUAGUAGGAGUUCCCUCUCCUGUGCUACAAAACUCCUCCUAUCCCCCAUGGUUACUUGUCCCUGAACAAGGGGGGCUCCCUCCAGGACUGUAUUUGCCAGCCGCCCGGGGUGCAUCCAGUUUCUUUAGCUUUUAUCGCUAGCCUUUUUGGGCUGGGCAGAGCCCUCUGUCAGGUUUGUAUCUGCGGGGUAGGGCAAGUUGCAGGACAAACCAGAGCUCAGUGUCAGCACGGGCAGGCUUUCAUCAGGGGAGGAAAGCGGGGCUGGGCUGUGAGCCGGUCAGAGGCGGCAGGUGGCGCAUUGCCCUGGCUGCCCAGAGGUCAGCUGAGCAAGUUGCGGUACAAGUUAGUAUAGCGAGAAUGUUGGGACCUGAGGUAAUGACAUUCCUGGGGUCUCGAUGUCUAUCUGCAGAGGACUGUGGCGAUUGAGAAAAGACGUGAUCCACUCACAGUAUCUGCCGGGAGCAUUCAUUUGCAUUUCUUUCCAUUACGCGGAUUAAGAAAUGGGACGUAUAACAUAUUUGCAUGAUUGCAAUUUAGCACUUCUCAAAACAUGUAAGUGACGGAGCUCUGUUAAGACAGGCCUGUCACCAGCGAGGCUGCCGUGCCGGGGGUGUCUUCUGGAUGCGCCCAUCCUGCCCAUCCUGGGAGGGGGCCCACGUGUCAUCUGCAGCUCGUGGGGUCACAUUAUCACAUCAGCAGUGCUCCAGGCCACAGAUCUACAGAAGUCCAAGCUCAGCUGUGUCUUGCCACCAGUUUCUGGAAAGGGCCUGCUCACUGUGCCCUGGCCUCAGACUGCUCUUUGAAUUCAUGCCACCCAUGUUAACCAAUGUGAAUCACAGCCAUUUUCCCCAGACAAGCCAGUCCCACCAGACAUUUCUUGCUCUCUUCUGUAGACUUGGCUGCUUCAACGAGGGGUUCACACUGAGCCACAUACAGUCUUCGGAAACAUCACCAGUGCCUCUCCCCCGUGCCGCAUCCCUGCUUCUUCCCCCACUCCCAUCCCAUUAACAGAUGAAUGUCCUUCUCUGUAGGUCUGAGCUUGCAUGUCCGAACCCUUAAGGGUGCCCAACAGAGUAAAGGGUUUUCCAUUCACCAAAGCAGCCCCUCUGAGGAGAAAAUGGAAGUGAUGAUUAGAACUUUGGGGUGGGGAGGGAGAAGGUGGCUGGGGUGCUCAUGUCUAGAACACCUUUCCCAGGAAGCGGUACACCUGUACCUAUGACCUGCUAAGUCUGGCUGUGCGUCCAUCAGCACUAGUCCUCUCUGAUUGAUGGGGAGAGAUGGUCUGAUGGGGGCAGGGCACCAUCCUCUCCCCCUCAGAAGCCAGUUUCUGGGGAGUGGGGAGAGGUCCGCUUAGGUCUGGCGAAGCUCCUGUGUCCCAGAGUUAGAGAUGGACAGGUGAGGCAAGAGUGCUGUCGUGCCUUCCUUGAGGCAAGAUGUCUUCUUCUGCAUAAGAGGGCAGUUGGUGUGUCUCAAGGGACAUGCUUCUCCAUCUGCCACCCUGAAUAAAACAGUGAAUGAGGGUCCCUCCAGGUGUAGGCAUGUUUCGGGAUAUUUUAACGGCAACUGGGGAGAGGGUAUGUCUCAGGUUCUACGGUGUGCAACGUGCCAACACACGCUUUAUGUGUGUUUUAAAAUGUGAGCUCUGGAAGCAUCCCAGAGGGGUCACGAAGACAUCUUAGCAGCUGAAGGAGGGGAAGCAUCUCUCCCCAGCCCAGAUCCCCCCUUGCCUUCCUACCAGGUACCCCCUUGCCUUCCUACUGGUCAUGGAUGGCACUGUGCUGACCACAGUAGUUUUCUUCCUAAGACACAAUUGUCCUGCAGAGGAGAAUUCUAAGGGUGGAGAAAAUCACCAUCCCUCCUUCCAGAACUCCUUGGUUUUUCUCUAUAUACCACAUUCGCACCGUGUCAGUGUCCCCCAGCGCCUGGAGAAGGAGCUUGGCAAGCAAGAACCAGCUGGGUCACUGUAUUUGAUUGCUUUUUGGGAGCCCAAUAAAGGCUCCCUUUGUUGGAGGUUUUUAGGAGGUCACUUGAAACACACAUACGGCUCUCAACUUCUCACAAUUCCAAGACCAGGUGAGGCCAGGGGUCCGGGAGUCCCGCUCAGGCCCCUGCGCCCCGCAAGCUCAGCAGACUUCUAUUCAUGGCUUCAGUCAGAAUCAGGCAAGGUGGCCCCAGAGCUGAGAAGCAGCUGAGUCAAGCAGGAACAAAGGGCAGUCCUACAAUAAACCAUUGAUACUUAUCUAUUAAAUGGCAAAGUCACUGGGGCAAGGACUGGCUGCUGCUUCCAUUGUGUGUCCGGUUCCCUUUCCAGGACUUGGUCUACAUGGGGAGACUCUCAGGAGAUGUUUGUUGAAUUGGAAACCAAUCCUCAAUUAGAUACCUCCUUAGAAGGAAUUUCCAGUCUGCCUUCAAAUUCAAAUGGAGGUACACAAAGCUAAGGGUGACACUCCAAAAGAUUUUAGAGGAAGUGUGUGACCAUGUACCCUAUCAUUUUAAUAGCCACUUAAUUUUCUCUUUCUCUAGCUUGUCAAUCCCCAGAAUUGUAAGCAAUCGAGUAGCUAGCCACUUAGGUGAUUGAUAAAGGAAAACUCAGGUCUUUGAGAUUAUGCUGGGGUAGGUGAAACCCCUAUAACAAGUAGACCCAAAAUGUGCUGGCUCAAACACGAUAGACACUUAUUUUUUUCUCACAUUAUAGUCCAGGGCAGAUGUUCUAGAUUGUUGGAAUCAGGGAAGGAAGUUCUGCUGUGUGUAUUCCCUCAGGGACACAGGCCAAUGGCUGUGUCAUAUUCAACAGUGGCUGCCAAGGUUGCUAUCAUGGUCAUCGUCAUUCCAGGUCAUGGUAUGUGGGAAAACAUGGGAAAGAACACUUGGGAGGUUGAAUGGGCUACGUGGAAGUGGCAUGCACCCCUUCUGCUCACAUUAGAAAGAAUGCACUCACAUGGCCACACCUAACUUCAUGACUGGGGAAUGAGGUAGUAGCUGGUUAACCAAACACCUAGCAAUCUUGGAAAUGGAGGAUGAAAUUGGGUAGGAGUAAAGAGACUUACAGAUUACGGAUUUGGAAGAAAUUUAGAAAAUUGCUUUCUCCUUGUCCAACGGGCAAUCUGGCACAAGCACUAAUCUUCCUGUUCAAAGUGCUCCAUGCCCCCAUUACAUAUCUGAGCUGACUUUCUGAUCUAGAGCACUAAGGAAUACUAAGCAUCAGUCUACGGGGAGACAACAGGAAUGGUCUUUUCUUUCAAAACAUUCUUUGUCAUUUGACAAAAAUGAUGACACAGAGGAGGGGGAAAUUAAAUCUGGAGAAGCUGCUUGCAUGUGGAGCCCAUUCUCUGUGGCCCUGGGAGACUGGAAUUGUGCUGUUCCCAUGCUUUAGUUAUCCUAGGGCUCAUAGAAUUGUGCCACAUCACUGAUGACAUCACAGGAUCCUUGGAAACCGUGGUGACUUGAAUUGCAAUUGCUGCUUCCAGCUGAAUGUGGUUGUGUUUCUAGAAGGAUAACUAUUUUUUGUGAUUAAGGAGAAAAGGCAACAUGGACCCACGGUUGGCUUUAGCAGGCUUCCCUGUAUCCUAAUUCUUACCUCAUGAAUAGUCUUUCAGCUUGGCUGACCUCACUUCCUCAUGUUUCUUCCCCUCCCACACCCCUCCGCCAUCCCAUUCACUUUCUUACACAGAUCUUCCAGUUUUGGGCUAGCGGUAUCUUUAAUUGUUCUUGGAAUUGCGUAUGUCUAUCGCUGCCCUUGAGCUCACAUUCCACCUCCCUGUGCAGACCACCCCAGUCAUCCCGCCCUGCCCUCACUCUCUCCAUUCCUGUCUUGUUCACUGGUGGGCACUUAUACGUUGCUUGGAUUGUUGCAUAUAUUUUUUUCAAGGUUAAUGGUGUCUUCCAAGUGACACUCUAAGCUUCUUGCGUGUUUGGAAUUUGUCUUGCCUUUGUCACUUCCUUGGGCUUGAGCGUGGUGUGGGGAGCAUUCUGUCAAUGCUCGUGGAUGAUGAUGGUUGUGUAAGAACUUGGGAGGCUCUGCAGUGACUUGAGCCAGAGACCUUGGAUGGCAGGGAUUGACAAAAUCCCUCUACUGGGCCAGUCUCUCAGCAAGAGGAGAGGACAACAAAAGGAAAGUCUCUCAGUCUCCCUUAUCAACAGUGAACCAGCUCCGGCAGGGUCAGCUCCUGGUGUGUAGCACCCUGUCUGGGCAAGGCGAGGGUGCUGGCCAUCUGGGCGAUGUCGUUGGGAGGCUUUGGUUGUGAUGUUACUGAAAACACUCAGCUCAAUGGACAGGACACCAGAUUCUCAAAGAGAUGGGGAGGCAAGACAAAGAAAGGAUGGUGCCCAUGGACCGCAGCCAGGAAAGCAGGGCUGUGGGCGGGCUUUGGGCCACUCUGCCCACCUCUCCUGCUCCAUUCUUCCAGGGACCUUUCAGAUGAUGCUUCUCGCCAUGAUAGAGUAGAGGGUGGGACAGGGAGAAGGAAUCAGUUAUUUCUCGUGUCCCAAGUGAAAGGGUGUCAGAUGAGCUCAGUCUCACUUUCUUCAUCAGGAAUUUAAAGGACUCCCAUAAAUAACGGCCCCUAACCACUAGUUAUUUAGGAAAUGAGUGACAAGCUCGGCUCUAUUAGAAACUCAGGGUCCUGGAGCCCAGGAUUCCAUGAGUGAUCGUCCCACAAGUUAAAUAGUGUUUCUUUAGCAGGGAGGAAGAAGGGUAUAUGGCAUCUGGAAAUGGGAAAGGCUUAGAAAAUCAGAUGCCUGUGGUUCUGCUGUGCACAUUGACUUGUGACCUAGAAAUAGGACAUACGUUAAAGCAGGGAAAUUCCCUCUUCUCCCACCGUCUUUCCCACAGGCACUGGCCCUUCAUCCCCACCCACGGGCCAUGAGAUUUGGCCUCCUCAACCUACAAAGUGACAGGAUGUAUGCAGGGGUGAGUGUUGGAAAGACGAGAUUCUGGAAUGACAUCUAUAGAACGGACUCUGCUGUGAUGGUCCAUGUUGUGCCCUUUCUGUGGUCCAAAUUCCACAGCAAAAUUUCCAUCGUCUGACCCUCCUUCCUUGGCAGCUCUGCCAGGGCCCUAGGUGUUUUCUAUGACAUACGCAUCACCAAUCUGUUCUAAGUCUGAUCGUUUCUCUCUAACACCUAAGAGGAGGCUGCCAGGGUGCCUGGGAGUAUGAGGGAUACCAUCCAUCUCUUAGGGCAGCUCUUCCUAAACUGCCAGCUGCCACCCAAUAGUGAGCUGGGAAGUAAUUUAGCGGGUCUUGAACAGUGUUAGAAUAAUAAUGGGAAACCUCAGAGUACGCUGCACAUAGUAAGGUAAAUAUGGUUUUGUGAAACUUAUGUUUUCUCUGUAAGUACAGCAAUGGGUGUAAUAGGUGCCCACGUAAGGUGUAUUUCUUACUGUGGUCCUGGUUAAAAAAAAUAUCUGAAUAACUCUCCUGGAGGUCUCAGCUGAUCCUGACUAAUCCUGGAAUUACGCAGAGUGAGAGUGAAGUGCAAAAUGGGGGGAAUAAAAGGUCCCAAAGAAAGGGGUGACCAUUUUUAUUUGCUUCCUGGACGAGGUAUCGAACACCUCCUCUGCCCCUUGAGGAUAUCAGUCCUGGAACCCAGCCUCUCUGGACCUGGGGGACCCCUGUGAGCUUUGUGCUCCCAUCACUUCUUGAAGCAGACCCUGCCAAGAGUACCUGGGUAGGAGGAGCUGUCCUUUUGGAAUGUAAUCAAAAGGGAUUCAGCAGUUAGCUGUGAAACGGUAAAUGACACGUCCAGGGCUUGUCUUGAUCCCUAGAAUGCCUGUGAAUUUCUGAGAUGCACAGGCUGGAAGAAGAGAGCCCUGUUGCAGCCUGGAAGAAAGGAGACAGAUAAGGUUGGCUCACCGCCUCCUGCCUCCCAGUUCUCACCCCACCCUCCCUUCUUGAACACCCCACUUCCUGCAGGGGGAGGGAGAUUGGAACAGGUAGCCCUUGGGGGUAUCUGGUACCCUCUUCCUAGUAGGUCAGACCCACAGUCGCCUGGGAAGACCCUAUAGAGAGAGAGAAGCACUGGGUCCUCCAGGACAGGAGAUGAUGGUUUAUGUCUAAGAGUGACAGGUGUGCUUGCUACAAUAUACAGGAGUAAAAAGCAAAGAGGAGCAGACAGAGGCGGGCAUCAAGGGAGGAGGGCUUGGAGAGAUCCCUAAGAAUCAAACAGGAGCAACGAGAGAGGCCUAGCAAGAGAGGGAGGAUUUCUUAGUGUAGGCAUUCCAGCAGGAACCGGGGCUUUGUUAUUUUUCCAAACUGAAGCAUCUGCAGAAAAUCAGUUGCCAUAAUCUGCCCAGCUAUGGCUAAAACAUGGCUAGGAAACAUUGCCUGAGGUAAUUUCUAGAAGAGUGUUCUUCUUCCAAGUCUUCAAGCUUGGGGCUGGGAAUUUAUUUUCUGUUCCUGUUUUUUUUCUUUUGGUUUGCUCAUUUUUGAGCCAGAAGAGGUCUUCUCUGUUUGCGAGAAGAUGGGGAGAGUGGAAAUGUCCGCAGCCAACUUCCUCUCAGAUUUCCUCCUAGGUCUCAGUGAGGAGAUCUGAUAGGGAGGGAUGGGUCCCUGAAGCACUUGUCCAUGUGAGGGGCAGUGAGGUGUGCUUGGACCAGAAAGAACUCUCUGAAAGAUUAGCACCCAGGGAUGCAUCUAUAUGGCUUCUGUUUAUCAUGAUCCCCCACCCUGCAACCUUCAAACUAUUUCUUAGGGUGCUACACAUCCCAGGCUCUAACAGUCCCUCUGCAUCCCUAAAUGUGAGGGCUGUUCAGAGUUACGUUCUUGGGAUGUGUGACUACCAUGUAAUCUACCCUAAUGGAAUCUUCCCCAAAUAGCUCCUUUCAAAACUGAAACACAGAUUAAACAAAGAGAAGAAAAACCAAUCCUGACAAACAGCUUCUUCAAGGGAAGCCCGUCCUCCCUGGAUUGGAAGGUGGGGAUGGUGGGCAACCCUGUUUCCGUCUGUCCGGGGCCCAUGGCUGCCUGGACCGUCUUCCAGACAGGUGCCAUCUAGUCAGGUAGAAGCGCACAUGACCACUAAGACCUGAACUCCUUCUGGCUGCUUAGGGGUAUGAGUGCUUUCUCUGGGUGAACAGUCCAAUCUGGAGAGUCAGAGGAAAGCUGGGGAGAAAGCAGCGGUGGUCAACCAGCAAAGCCAAAAACCUUUCAUGGUUUCCAUUGGUUCGUUAGGUUAGCUCUUGAAGGCUCUUUGCUCUUCUGACUUGAACCUCUCAAUAUUUCCUAGGACUUUUCUCACAAUCCAUUGUUCCCAUUGGCAGUUCAGAUGAUGCCCUGUGCACAUCCAUUUUCUCCUCUCAGCCAUAGCCACCACUCCCAUCUUCUGAGUGUCACCCUUUCCAUCCAGCCCUGGUAGGGACCGGCUUGUCUUUCUUUUACAAGAGUUUCUGUACAUUACUUACGCUGGGCUCUGAUUCCAUCGCUACUUCUUGUUUUGGCUUACAUUUGAAUCUUGUUUUUUUAAAGCAACAUCUUCUGAUUAUAAUUUCUACUUUUUGCAGAAAAUAUGAGCAAUACAGGAAAGUAUAAAAAGUAUCAUUCAGAAUUCCAUCCUCGGAGAUAGCCAUCCUGUACAUCUUGGUGGAUUUGCUGCCUGGCUUUUUUCUAUGUAUGUAUCUAUUAUUUGUGACAGUUUAUAAAAUUGAUAUCAUGCUGUCAGUGUAGUUUCUCAAUUUGCCCAGUUAAGAUUAUAACACAAGUAUUUUCCCAGUCAAGGCUCUUCCCAAAUCUGAUAUUUACUGAUCAUACAAUAUUCUAUUGAGUGAGGGAGAACCGUAAUUCAAUUAUUCAUAGUUUCCGAAAAGGUUGUGCUCAUUUGCACUCCCAUUAGCAGCCUUUGACAGUGCCUGUGUCACUUCAUGUGACAGUUUGGGGUCUGAGAAACAGAGAGCAGGUGGACUUGGGAGGGGGCGUCCCAGGGAAUGGGGGAGUGGGGAGGGAGCAGGGCACGCUGGAGAGCCGACUGACAUCUGUGAAGGCCAGAGAGGGCAGGGUUGGGUAGAAGCCUCUGCUGCAGGCGACUACUGCUUGAUUCUGGGAAAGUUUUGGGCAGGGGAUGGGGAAUCCCCAAACCAAAGUUUCUCCCAGGAGGAAUUCCAAGACAGGCGGGAAUGGGCUAGUAUGAAGACCCUCCUAACUCUCAAGCUUUGGUUGGGACCCUCUGUGGUCAUGAGUGGGUGGGAGCGGGCAGCUGACACUGUCAGUCAACUCUGCUUCUUGGGGGCUGGUUCUCAUGAAAGAGAGCCGAGCAGCACCCCUACCCUGACCCAAGGCCACCCCACUCCACCUGAUCAACUGUGAAAAUAGUUAAAACACAUAAUAAUUAACUGAAAAAAAUGGUCUCGUUUUGCUGAUUUUCCCUUUUCUGAUUAACCUUGAGAUCAAACAUUUAUCAUGAAUUUGGUUAGACACUUUGAUUUCUUCUAAAGAUUGCAUGCCUGGGUUUUCUGACCAUGAUGGUUUUCCUUACUGAUAUAUAAAAGUAUUUGCUGUGUUAAGCCUGUUAGCUCUUUGUUCAUUUCCUUCAAAUAUUUUUAAUCAUUCUGUUGCUUCUCUUUAUGUUUUACGUAGGAUGUCUCUGAUUUUUUUUUUUUGGUGGCUCAAGAUAGCCCUGAGCUAACGUCUGUUGCCCAUCUUCCUCUUUUUUUGCUUGAGGAAGAUAGCCCUGAGCUAACAACUGUGCCAGUCUUCCUCUAUUUUGUAUGUGGGAUGCCUCCGCAGCAUGGCUGAUGAGUGGAGUAGGUCCCCACCCGAGAUCUGAACCUGUGAACCCAGGCCGCCAAAGCACAGGGCAUGGAACUUUAACCACUUGGCCGUGGAGCCUGUCCCCCUGAUUUAUUUUUAAAGAACUCAUUCUCUGUUAUGAUCAUCACUUUCAUUUACUUCGUGUUCAGAAAGCUUUUCCUCAUCUAGGCUUUAGUUAAAUAUACACCAAUGUUUUCUUCUAGAUACUUUGGGUUCAUUUCUUUUACAUUUAAUACACUGGGAUUUUAUUCUGGUGUAUGGUGUGAGGAAGGGACCAAAUCUGAUCCCCCUUUCCCCCAUAACAGCCACAUUUUCCAAUUUCACUUUUAGAUGAUUCGAUGACUAACCACUGCUUUCUGGUGAUUCCUUUCUCAGAUUCAAGUUUUAAAAAUAUAUAUAACAGAUUUCAGGACUGUCUGCUUCUACUUCAUUGGUCCACAGAGUCUUGACCCAGCACCACCCUAUUUUAAUUACUGUGUCAAUAAUAAUAUAGUUAGAGAUCUCUUAGGGAAACCACUUCCUUGAUACUCUUUAAGUGACUCAGCUAUUUACGUCUUUUUUUUUCCUUCCAAAUAAACUUUAAAAUCUUUCAUUGAGUUCAAAAAUAAAAUCCCACUGGGAUUUAAUUAGGAUUGCAUUUCUCCUAAAAUUAGUUUGGCAAGGAUUAACAGCAUUACCAUAUCUAAUAUUUCAAUUCAAGAUUGUAUCUUUCCAUUAGCUUUUCUCUUUUAUAAAUCUCUGUAAAAAGUUUGUGUUUUUAAUAUAGGUCUUGGACAUUUCUCAUUAGCAUUGCUUCUAAAUUUUUUCAAUACCCUGUGAAUGCAAUUCUCCUUCUAUAUUUUCUGCUUGUUGUUGGAAUACAGGAAGGGUAUUGAUUUGGGAGAUUUUUUUGUAUAUUUAUCUUGUAUCUUUCCUCUUCGUAAUGUCCUAUUAAUACUAAAAAUGUUCCAACUGAUGCUCUUCUAUUGUCUUGGUGCAUAGCCAUGUUACAGUCUAUAGAUAUCAAACAUUUUGUUUUCUCCUUUUGAACAGUUUAUGGCUAUUGUAGAGUUUGAAAACAAGUUGGCAUGUUGUCCUCUUGCCUCAUGUUGAGUUUUUAAGUUAUGGAGUUGAAUUUAUCUUGAAAUUCCAGGUAACUUUAAAGGACAGUGUGUGAUUUUUGGGUUUAUUGAAAUGAGGACUGCAUUUAGGAAGCCUGAACAAUGUAGUUUUGGAGUGCCGAAUGAACAGGGUGUCCUGCGUUUCAGCAUAGUCGCCAUACUUUUCUCAACUGAAUGAGUAGUUCGUCCCUCAUGAGUCCCAGGAGUAAGGUUCCUCCACGAUGCUGGUUAAGAGCUUUAAUAGGGAGCACAGCCAGAGUAGGACUGAGAUCUUCUAGGAAAGCUGAGAAUCCUAACAAAGCCAGGGGUUGGAAGAGUGUGGGUUGAGAAAGCACACUCAGGUCAGCGGAAACCAUAUUUCUCCACAAACAAGCCUGCCAACAAAAAGCACCCCCAAACAAACCCUUUUGAAACUUUUCAGAGUCCUAGUAAUUGUGCCUUUCUAUCAGAAGUUCUAAGAGACAUUUCCCAACUGUUGGUUCAUGAAUUCUGAGAGGCACGUGGAAGAAUUAAAGAAGUAAACAUCUUAUUUUAAAAAUCUAUAAGUAUUUUUAAACAAUUUAAAGCAAAAUGUGGGUGCUCUGUGCGUGUACUGAUUGCAUCUGUGGGGUAGUUCGAGGAGAUUCUCUGAGCAUCUUCGGGACUCAGUUGCUUGAGUGGCUUAGCUCUCAGUUGACCACUGCCAGCUGCCAUGAUGCUCUCUGACCACCAAGCAGUUUUAACUCUUUCCCUUAGUCCUCCGUUAUUUGCUUUAGACCCACAAUGGACUUGUUAGUUAAAAAUUAGGAAGCAUAAGGAGUCCUGAUGUUGAAUUACAAGUUAACAGGGAGCUCCAACACGAAAAUAAUUCCACAGAUGUGCUGUAAGAUAACCCUUGCCCAAUCUCUAAGUUGCAUUCAUCUCAUCAAAAUCCUCAGUUUGAAGAACAUUUUGAGGUACUCUUACAUCAAGAGGUCUCUGCUACCUCAAAAACCAGUGUUCAAAAGGAGAAUGUACAUGCAUUUUGGGGAGGCAGGAAUAAAAGCUUUCCCUUGCUGCAUUAUGUUAUAUGUGGAAGUGUGGAAUAUGCAUGAUUGUUCUCUCAUCAUUUAGAAACAAAACGUAAAAACUAUGAAAAUAUGCCAGUAUUUUUGGUGUGCAAAUUCACACAAUUUAAAAAAUCCUAUCUUUCUACAGCUCUGAUCUAUUUUUGAGGCUGUGACAUGUAGUUAAGUUUCAAUCUAUGUUUAAAUUUUUGAUUCCUCCCAACCAAACGCAGUGUGUGUUUAAGCAUAUUUGUUGACUGUGCUUUUUCUUCUAGCCUGAAUCAUUCUGAGAACAGGUGUAACUUGAUGCCCCCUGAGCCUACCAAUGCAUUUAUGAAAUCGCUAUAAAAUGCUCAAUUAACUUUGAGCAAAGUUGUUUCUUGUAUCCAGGAAAUACAUGUUUUCAAAACGUCACCCCAGUAAAUAAAAUUGUUGACAUGAGGUGUGGGGAUAUUACUCACAUUAUGGGGGCAAAAUUUGUAACAGCUGACUGGAAGUGGGGCCAGUUGUCUAUCAAGGUAUUUCUAAUCAUGGCAAUGAAACCAUGUCAUCUGCACAGAGGAGAGCUCACCCACCCCUCCCCCUCCAUGGUGGGGGACUUGUAUCUGGUUCACUUAAAAGUGGUUCCAGGUCACUAACAUAUAUGAGCGGCUAUCAGACUACAUUCCUAUGUACCUCUACUGGAAAUUCUUAUCUGAUAGAUGACAGUUUCCAUAUGCCUCGUUUUGAUGCUAAAGUACAGACUUCCUACAGGCAUCAGUACAGGGAUCUAAACUGGCUUUAUUUAGCAUAUUUCAAGGGAUUUCCUAUCAACGGAGCCCAAACUCAAUACAAGCUACAGCCUUACGUUAUUCCUAAAAGAUUUCUCCUUGGGAUGAUAAACAGCAAGCCAAUGUGUCUCUGGACCACUACGCUUAAAUCCUUGUGUCUGUGUACAACAUUAGCCAAGGACAGCUAUAUCCAGAUUUAAUCAAGAAAGGAAUGUUUAUUAAAACUUAAAAAAAUUAAGAAUUAUGAAAGUAACUGUUUACUGUAAGAAUGUCAAAUAAUUUGAAACUUCACAUAAUAAAAAGUGAACGCUCUAAUUUGUCUGCUCCCCAUCCUUUCCUCUCCCCAGUUAAACUCGCCUCCUUGGAUCUGAUGGACAGAUUCUGGUCCUCCAUCAAGGAUUUAUUUUAUCUGAGAUUUUAUUUAUGGCAAAGAGAAAUUUGUAAUAAUAAUUUGAUAAGAUUGGAUGUGGUCUUUGACCAGGAAGAAUUUUUUUGUUUUCUGGCUGGGGCUGGUACUCAACAGAGAUAGGCAACAAGGUGGUGGCUUCCGUCUGUUUGGCCUAGGGCCCCUGAAGGGGCUGUUGAGGAUGUCUCGUUCCCGUCACUGGAAGCCCCAGUAACCAGUCAAAUCCUAAAGGCUUCUUCUGUCUGGAGUCCCACAUGCAAGUUACCUGCAGGAGAGCUCUUUUAUCUCAAGUUUUGGAAGGAAGUUGAGAAGAAACCGUUGUCAACCAACUAGUAAGUUGUUAAGAAGUCAUCUUCAGCUGGGACAAGAGGGAAAUAGAAUUUUCUAGAGCCCCUUUCUCCACUUUAACCUGCACUGUCCUCAUAUCCCCUGGGCAUUUUCCUCCUGGCACUUAGAAUUGUAGACAUGAACUUGGCGAUUAUUUGACUAAUGUCUGUCUCAUCCCUCUAGACGACUGGUUCUUGAGGGCAGACAGCCUGCCUGUGCUCAUUGCUUUAUCCUCGUGAAGGCACAGGAGGUCGAAGUGUCUACGUAAGAUUUUGGGGCUGUAAUGCCCUGUCAGUCUCCAGGAACACGUCUAGGGGAAUUGUGAUAUUCCAUUGGAGAGAUGCAUACGUCGACAACACUAAUGCCAAGAUUGGACUGGAAGAAACCUGGGCUGAGAUGAAUUGACCAGGGAGAAAUGAAGAGAGGAAAUAAAAGUCUGGAAGUGGCUCCUUGUGUUCUUGAGGGAAAAAGGAAAAGUCUUGUACCCAUUGACAGGGAAUACCAACACAGCCCCAGCCCUAGAGUGGCCUGAGCGGAAGUCGCUGUUCCGGUGUGGAGCAAUGGGAGUGGCCACCCGGGCUUCUGGGGCAGGCUGAGGGCUGGGCGACCUGGCUGCAGGUCAGCGGAGAGCUGGUGGGGCUGGAAAUAGCAUCAUGAACACAACAAAUACCAUCUGUUUAAGGGGAGGGAACGUCAAAUCGGUGCAGAGCAACCAUCACCACCCAGAGAGGAAUUAAGGAAAGAAUGAGAGUGCACAUAGGGGUGAGCAGCUGGGAGCUUUCGGCCGGGGUGGCAAAGGCCCCUUGUCUGCUCCCAGUCCGCCUACCCAGGGGGUGGUGGCCAUGGCAGUGUGAGGAGGGCCGGAAAACUGCAGAUUUCUUUUGACAA